Molecule: long non-coding RNA, 341 nt
Filed under: Homo sapiens (human)
Lineage: Eukaryota; Metazoa; Chordata; Mammalia; Primates; Hominidae
Description: HSALNT0269752
Source: RNAcentral
UUGUGUACCUCUUGGUGACUUUGGAGCAGGAGUGUUGAGGAAUAAACAAGUCUGCCUCUGAGUGCUUGGCACAGGCCCUCUCUGUGCCUGCUCUGUAGAGGGUGAGGUCUGCGCCUCUCUGUCCACGGAUGGUCAGUAAGAGAGGAUGAUCUUUACUGACACUAACGUCACUCACUGGCGGCCUGUCCUAUAGUGCCUGGUGUAGUUGGUGGGAAAUGAAUCAAACUACUGUGUUUUGUUGUUUUAAUCUGAUGGCUUGUCUUGAUUCAUUUUCUUAGCAAAUUGCAGUUAUAGUUUAUGGGCCUGUGGAGUGAUUGGCACCUUUGAGGGUGGAAGGGGUU